Molecule: unclassified non-coding RNA, 257 nt
Filed under: Hevea brasiliensis (rubber tree)
Lineage: Eukaryota; Viridiplantae; Streptophyta; Magnoliopsida; Malpighiales; Euphorbiaceae
Source: RNAcentral
AACAUGGUCCCUCCAUAUGAAAAGGUUUGCUUAGUAAUAAUCCUUUGGUAAUCAAUCGUUUUGGUGUGGGCUUCAGACAAUUUAGAAAUCAAAUAUGCCCCACAUAUUCUUUCUUAGAUAAAUUUAACAAAAAGUUCAUCUACUUGGCCAAUACAUUAAAAGUUGACUUCUUAAUUAAAUUUUCAGAAGUAUAAUUGAUUUACUUUGAAUUAAUUAUCUGUUUGUUUGUCUGCAGACGAUGUACUCAGGAGUGGGGG